GACGAACGCUGGCGGCGUGCCUAACACAUGCAAGUCGAACGAAGCAUUUGGAGCUGAUCUCUUCGGAGUGACGCACCUUAUGACUUAGUGGCGGACGGGUGAGUAACACGUGAGCAACCUGCCUCUCAGAGUGGAAUAACAGUUUGGAAACGGCUGCUAAUACCGCAUAACGUCAUAGUACCGCAUGAUACCUUGACCAAAGAUUUAUCGGUGAGAGGAUGGGCCCGCGUCUGAUUAGCUGGUUGGUGAGGUAACGGCUCACCAAGGCGACGAUCAGUAGCCGACCUGAGAGGGUGAUCGGCCACAUUGGAACUGAGACACGGUCCAA
RNAcentral lists this ribosomal RNA (328 nucleotides) under uncultured bacterium. Its description in RNAcentral is "bacterial SSU rRNA". It matches the Rfam family "Bacterial small subunit ribosomal RNA", at positions 28 to 334 of the family's 1533-position model. The record is from RNAcentral.